UCCAAGGUAGUCUAGUGGACAUGGCAUUUGCCCGGUAAGCGGAACACUGUGGGUUCAAUUAUCAUCUCUGGCA
RNAcentral lists this transfer RNA (73 nucleotides) under Cordylochernes scorpioides. RNAcentral describes it as "tRNA-Thr". The record is from RNAcentral. Lineage: Eukaryota; Metazoa; Arthropoda; Arachnida; Pseudoscorpiones; Chernetidae.